CAGGAUAGCUAGGGGUGCCGCAGGCUGAGAAAUGAAAGCAAUUUCAUUGACCCUCAUCACCUGAUCUGGAUAAUGCCAGUGUAGGGAAGCGAUAUAAUAUGAUA
Molecule: non-coding RNA, 104 nt
Filed under: Acetonema longum
Lineage: Bacteria; Bacillati; Bacillota; Negativicutes; Acetonemataceae
Also listed under: 1 other name
Description: TPP sequence
Rfam family: TPP riboswitch aptamer (THI element)
About the family: Vitamin B(1) in its active form thiamin pyrophosphate (TPP) is an essential coenzyme that is synthesised by coupling of pyrimidine and thiazole moieties in bacteria. The previously detected thiamin-regulatory element, thi box was extended, resulting in a new, highly conserved RNA secondary structure, the THI element, which is widely distributed in eubacteria and also occurs in some archaea.
Source: RNAcentral